UAGGGAAUCUUCCGCAAUGGACGAAAGUCUGACGGAGCAACGCCGCGUGAGUGAUGAAGGGUUUCGGCUCGUAAAGCUCUGUUAUGAGGGAAGAACACGUACCGUUCGAAUAGGGCGGUACCUUGACGGUACCUCAUCAGAAAGCCACGGCUAACUACGUGCCAGCAGCCGCGGUAAUACGUAGGUGGCAAGCGUUGUCCGGAAUUAUUGGGCGUAAAGCGCGCGCAGGCGGCCUUUUAAGUCUGAUGUGAAAUCUUGCGGCUCAACCGCAAGCGGCCAUUGGAAACUGGGAGGCUUGAGUACAGAAGAGGAGAGUGGAAUUCCACGUGUAGCGGUGAAAUGCGUAGAUAUGUGGAGGAACACCAGUGGCGAAGGCGACUCUCUGGUCUGUAACUGACGCUGAGGCGCGAAAGCGUGGGGAGCAAACAG
Molecule: ribosomal RNA, 429 nt
Filed under: uncultured bacterium
Lineage: Bacteria
Description: bacterial SSU rRNA
Rfam family: Bacterial small subunit ribosomal RNA
Source: RNAcentral